Molecule: ribosomal RNA, 255 nt
Filed under: uncultured bacterium
Lineage: Bacteria
Description: partial 16S ribosomal RNA
Rfam family: Bacterial small subunit ribosomal RNA
Source: RNAcentral
UACGGGGGGGGCAAGCGUUGUUCGGAAUUACUGGGCGUAAAGGGCUCGUAGGUGGCCAACUAAGUCAGACGUGAAAUCCCUCGGCUUAACCGGGGGAACUGCGUCUGAUACUGGAUGGCUUGAGUUCGGGAGAGGGAUGCGGAAUUCCAGGUGUAGCGGUGAAAUGCGUAGAUAUCUGGAGGAACACCGGUGGCGAAGGCGGCAUCCUGGACCGACACUGACACUGAGGAGCGAAAGCCAGGGGAGCAAAGCGGG